This 253-nucleotide ribosomal RNA is filed under the name uncultured bacterium. RNAcentral describes it as "partial 16S ribosomal RNA". It matches the Rfam family "Bacterial small subunit ribosomal RNA", at positions 524 to 776 of the family's 1533-position model. The record is from RNAcentral.
UACGUAGGGUGCAAGCGUUAAUCGGAAUUACUGGGCGUAAAGCGUGCGCAGGCGGUUUUGUAAGACCGAUGUGAAAUCCCCGGGCUUAACCUGGGAACUGCAUUGGUGACUGCAAGGCUAGAGUGUGUCAGAGGGAGGUGGAAUUUCGCGUGUAGCAGUGAAAUGCGUAGAGAUGCGGAGGAACACCGAUGGCGAAGGCAGCCUCCUGGGAUAACACUGACGCUCAUGCACGAAAGCGUGGGGAGCAAACAGG